RNAcentral lists this unclassified non-coding RNA (409 nucleotides) under Hevea brasiliensis (rubber tree). Lineage: Eukaryota; Viridiplantae; Streptophyta; Magnoliopsida; Malpighiales; Euphorbiaceae. The record is from RNAcentral.
CUUGCCUCGCCCACCCCACAAAAAUCUUAGUCAAAAGGCUAAUAAGUCGCACAGAACAAGGCUUCCUGAGUUACAAGCUUUCAGAAGGAGUAGAUACACACAUGGAAGCUAUUUCAAUCUCUGAACCUGUGACCUACACAUCACAAGGUAGCAACCUCAUCGUUGCACAAAGGCCUACCCCUAGGCAAAUGGCUGAUAUGUAAUUAUUAAACUUGAAACACAUAGACUUUUGCAAGUGCUAGAUAGCCAGGAAUUAAUAGAUCACCUAUCAAUUGAUACAUGCAAAUACAAGCACAAAAUGCUCUGCUAUUGAAUAUGAUAAGGUAUAGUAUUACGACUCCUGACCAAGGAUGAGAGUGUCACAAAUAAGAAUAGCUGAGCAGAGCAAAACAUUUUCACAAUUAAAAAG